This 544-nucleotide ribosomal RNA is filed under the name Escherichia coli. RNAcentral describes it as "partial 23S ribosomal RNA". It matches the Rfam family "Bacterial large subunit ribosomal RNA", at positions 1220 to 1765 of the family's 2925-position model. The record is from RNAcentral. Lineage: Bacteria; Pseudomonadati; Pseudomonadota; Gammaproteobacteria; Enterobacterales; Enterobacteriaceae.
GUUGUUGGGUAGGGGAGCGUUCUGUAAGCCUGUGAAGGUGUGCUGUGAGGCAUGCUGGAGGUAUCAGAAGUGCGAAUGCUGACAUAAGUAACGAUAAAGCGGGUGAAAAGCCCGCUCGCCGGAAGACCAAGGGUUCCUGUCCAACGUUAAUCGGGGCAGGGUGAGUCGACCCCUAAGGCGAGGCCGAAAGGCGUAGUCGAUGGGAAACAGGUUAAUAUUCCUGUACUUGGUGUUACUGCGAAGGGGGGACGGAGAAGGCUAUGUUGGCCGGGCGACGGUUGUCCCGGUUUAAGCGUGUAGGCUGGUUUUCCAGGCAAAUCCGGAAAAUCAAGGCUGAGGCGUGAUGACGAGGCACUACGGUGCUGAAGCAACAAAUGCCCUGCUUCCAGGAAAAGCCUCUAAGCAUCAGGUAACAUCAAAUCGUACCCCAAACCGACACAGGUGGUCAGGUAGAGAAUACCAAGGCGCUUGAGAGAACUCGGGUGAAGGAACUAGGCAAAAUGGUGCCGUAACUUCGGGAGAAGGCACGCUGAUAUGUAGGUGA